AGAUUCUAUCUAGAGAAUCUUCUUCAACUCAACUCAUAUAUAUAUAUGUAAAUUGAACUUCAACUUAUAGCGGUGCAAGUGACGGUGAAGGCCAGAAAGCAUCAUCGGUGGCGUCUCGGAGGAUUCCGCCGGCGUCUUCUAUGCUGUGGGUCCGUAACCUCUGCCUACAUCGGUCUUGUCAUGGGAAAAUAUAGCUUGAAUCAAGCUUUUACGAGCUUAGGAACAAACCGAAGUUGAAGUGAAUGAUCUCUAAUUAAUCGUCACACAAUAUCUGCAAUCCAGGGGUGCUAAGUGUAUCCAGUUUUGUAUAAAAAAAAACCGACCCGACCCGCCCUGACCCGAAACCCGUUCCAACCCGGACCUGUUCCGACCCGACCCAAUCCGACCCAUUUGCCAGGUCUAUUAAUAACGGUGUCACGAUUGGGGUGGUGGUGGUGGUGGAUGGGAAUGUGGUUAGUGGUUUGAAAGCUUUGUAUGCAGUGGAGUUAAAGGAUAAUGGGGUUGGCACUAGGGGUUGUACCGAUUGGCAUCGCGGCGGGAUUUAUUUACAUCAUUGAAAAGGAUUUUUCAAGUACCUGGUGUGGGAAAUGUUGUAUAACAAACAGCCUGGUGAUGCAGCCAAUCCCACUGAGAUAAAUGUUAUUGAUAGGCAGAUUUGGCACGACACGAGAGAGGCUCCGGAUAAUGAUAUACAUGUUUUGUUGAUGACGUUGAUGCGGAAGUUUUUUAGCGAGUUAGGUAUUUCGUUAGUUUAGCUUUAUAUGUAGUUUAUUUAUACAAUUA
RNAcentral lists this long non-coding RNA (783 nucleotides) under Helianthus annuus (common sunflower). Lineage: Eukaryota; Viridiplantae; Streptophyta; Magnoliopsida; Asterales; Asteraceae. The record is from RNAcentral.